This is a long non-coding RNA of Mytilus californianus (California mussel), 223 nucleotides long. RefSeq lists it as uncharacterized. The transcript has 2 exons. Lineage: Eukaryota; Metazoa; Mollusca; Bivalvia; Mytilida; Mytilidae. The record is from RefSeq and is a predicted model, not a curated record.
CCGCUUUCGAGAGCACAAGGUGAUUCUACAGAGUUUUUAUCAAUAUCUUUCCUGUAUACAGCUUUUAUAUUUUAUCAUGUCAUCAUGAAGACCUAUGGAAUCACGGAAAAACAAGUGUCUGACCAAACAACAACCUUUCUAAAAUUGGGCUCCAAAAAGACAGGGUGGGAGAAGAAAGAAGUUGAAGUUUUCACUAUUAAUAAAUAAAUAUAUUUUAAUUUUA